Molecule: ribosomal RNA, 253 nt
Filed under: uncultured bacterium
Lineage: Bacteria
Description: partial 16S ribosomal RNA
Rfam family: Bacterial small subunit ribosomal RNA
Source: RNAcentral
UACGGGGGGGGCAAGCGUUGUUCGGAAUUACUGGGCGUAAAGCGCGCGUAGGCGGCUCUUCAAGUUGGGCGUGAAAGCUCCAGGCUUAACCUGGAAAUUGCGUUUGAUACUGUCGAGCUAGAGUGUGGAAGAGGCUACUAGAAUUCCGUGUGUAGCGGUGAAAUGCGUAGAUAUACGGAGGAAUACCAGCGGCGAAGGCGAGUAGCUGGGCCAACACUGACGCUGAGGUGCGAAAGCUAGGGUAGCAAACGGG